This 1802-nucleotide ribosomal RNA is filed under the name Gastrocirrhus monilifer. Its description in RNAcentral is "LSU rRNA". It matches the Rfam family "Eukaryotic large subunit ribosomal RNA", at positions 74 to 1875 of the family's 3401-position model. Lineage: Eukaryota; Ciliophora; Spirotrichea; Euplotida; Gastrocirrhidae. The record is from RNAcentral.
AUUGCCUUAGUAGCGGCGAGCGAAGUGGCAAAAGCCCAAACUGUUAAUCUGUGCUUUGCACCGAAUUGUAAUCUAAAGGAAGUGCGCUAAAGCUCUAGUCGGCGUAUAAGUUCCCCGGACUGGGACGCCAUAGAGGGUGAAAGCCCCGUACUGCGCUGGCUAGUGUUAAGUGCCUUUCAAAGAGUCGGGUUGUUUUGUAAUGCAGCCCUAAGUGGGAGAUAAACUUCUUCUAAGGCUAAAUACGAAUGGGAGACCGAUAGCGAACAAGUACUGUGAAGGAAAGAUGAAAAGAACUUUGGAAAGAGAGUUAACAGACCUGAAACCGUUGAGGAGGAAGCGGUGAAAAUUAAUCAUCGGCGUUGAUCCUGCGGGGGUGAUCUAACUCUCUGCCGUGUUCGGUACUGUCAAAAGACUGAUGCGGUAGAAGGGGGAAAUUACUGAGCUGGAUUGGCGUCGUAAGGCAAGAUGAGUCUAUCGAAGAGGAUGAGCUACUGUGAGAUCGGGGCUUCGGCUUCACUCUAGGUGUGCUUGCUUUUCGAAAGGCUGAGGGGCUUCGUGCGAUCUUGUCAAAAUGGUUUUUACCGUCCCGUCUUGAAACACGGACCAAGGAGUCUAACAUAUAUGCGAGUGUGCUGGCGGAGAAACCAACACGCGUAAUGAAAGUGACAGAUGCCAAGCUGUAGAGCAGCAGCAUCGGCCGACCUUUUUCCUCUGGUUUAGGUUUGCGUAAGAGCAUAUCUGUUAGGACCCGAAAGAUGGUGAACUAUGCCUGAGUAGGGUGAAGCCAGGGGAAACUCUGGUGGAGGCUCGUAGCGACACUGACGUGCAAAUCGUUCGUCAAACUUGGGUAUAGGGGCGAAAGACUAAUCGAACCAUCUAGUAGCUGGGUUCCCUCCGAAAUUUCCCUCAGGAUAGCUGGGACAACCACGCAGUUUUAUUAGGUAAAGCGAAUGAUUAGAGGCCUCAGGGAUGAAACGUCCUUGACCUAUUCUCAAACUUUAAAUUGGUAAGAACUCUGGGUUUCUUAAUUGAACUCAGAGGAAGAAUGCGUGUCCUUAGUGGGCCAUUUUUGGUAAGCAGAACUGGCGAUGAGGGAUGCUCCUAACGUCAGGUUAAGGUGCCUAACUACACGCUCAUCAGAUACCAGAAAAGGUGUUGAUUCAUUUAGACAGCAGGACGGUGGCCAUGGAAGUUGGAAACCGCUAAGGAGUGUGUAACAACUCACCUGCCGAAUGGAUUAGCCCUGAAAAUGGAUGGCGCUAAAGCGUGUGACCGAUACCUGACCAUUGAGGCGAGAGUUAGGCCUCAAUGAGUAGGAGGGCGUGGGCAUCGUAAAGAAGCCUUUGGCGUGAGCCUGGGUAGAACGGUGUCUAGUGCAGAUCUUGGUGGUAGUAGCAAUUAUUCAAAUGAGAACUUUGAAGGCCGAAGUGGAGAAGGUUUCCAUGAGAACAGCAAUUGGUCAUGGGUGACUCGAUCCUAAGUCAUUGGGGAAGUCUUUGUCAAGUGGGUGCAAACCCGCAGUCGAAAGGGAAUGAGGUUAAUAUUCCUCAAGCUGCCUACGGAUAUUGUACGGUAACGUUUGUGAGCUCAGUGACGCCGGCGCGUGCCUCUGGAAGAGUUCUCUUUUCUUUUUAACAGACAAACGACCCUGAAUCGGAUUAUCCGGAGCUAGGGUUGUAUGUUUGGAAAAGCAUCUUGCUUUCUGAGAUGUCAGGUGCGCUCGCGACGGUCCUUGAAAAACUGAGUAAGAGACUUAUUCCGUAGCAGAUCGUACCGACAACCGCAUCAGGCUUCCAAGGUUA